Molecule: unclassified non-coding RNA, 905 nt
Filed under: Hevea brasiliensis (rubber tree)
Lineage: Eukaryota; Viridiplantae; Streptophyta; Magnoliopsida; Malpighiales; Euphorbiaceae
Source: RNAcentral
CAUUUAACUUGCUUGUAAAAAUGGAUUGAGAUCCACUUUCAAUUACUACCAAAAUAAUAAAUAUAGAGUAAACAUCAUAAUUACAACAAAGUUUUUUUCUCAUUCAAUUACUGAAAGACAAACUAACUAAGAAGAAAGCAAUUUACUAGUAAUGAUGUCCAACAUUGACAAGAGUUGUUAACACAGAGCCAAAAGGAUGCACAGACUUCACAUCACUAUAUGUCCAAACCUCCCUUCACCCUUGGCCUAACAAUUGGGAACUCCAAAGGCUUAUUCUUAUUUAUAUGUUCCACCACCUUAGCUUGAAAAUAUUCACUGUCGCCAUUUUUGACCGUAAAGGUAAUAUAGUAAACGAAGCCUUGACAUCCACCUUCAUUAACCUUGACAAUACGGUCGACCUCAUAUUUGGUGCCAUUGUCCGUAUUGUAAUGCUCAAGUGCCUUUGCACAAUAAUCCUUCAACAUUUCAACAUUGGCAGGAGUGUCUAAGUAGUUAGUCAUGGGGUAAAUGCUAGUUAGUGGACACGAACCGGGAUAAUCCUUAAUGUCAAAUCCCUCACUCUCACGGAUCUGGUCGAAGUACCUAUCCCAAACAGCUUUAUCCGCCUUUUUUUCACCGGGAUCUUCAGGGCAAUAUAAAUCUUCAAUUGCUUCUUGGAUAUCCCAGUCGGGAAGGCUUGUAUCUGAAAGAGAGUAUGAUAAAGGUUGCUCACUUUCGCAAUCGCUGGAUUCUCCAUCUUCUUCAUCCACUUUUUGUUUCUUCAACGACGACGGAUAAUCCGAUUCGCUUGAGGAAUCUGAUUCACUUGAGGAUCCUCCGUAUUGGCACGGCAGAGGCGAUUGUGGUGGCGGCGGCGGUGGCGGCGAUAACAUGAUGAGAACGAUCAGAGAAUAGGGUAACAAUAG